Molecule: ribosomal RNA, 340 nt
Filed under: uncultured eukaryote
Lineage: Eukaryota
Description: bacterial SSU rRNA
Rfam family: Eukaryotic small subunit ribosomal RNA
Source: RNAcentral
AGUCAUAUGCUUGUCUCAAAGAUUAAGCCAUGCAUGUCUCAGUAUAAACUUCUAUAUGGUGAAACUGCGAAUGGCUCAUUAAAACAGUUAUAAUUUAUUUGAUGGUUGCUUACUACAUGGAUAACUGUGGUAAUUCUAGAGCUAAUACAUGCAUCAAUACCCAACUUCUUGGAAGGGUUGUGUUUAUUAGAUACAGAACCAACCCAGGCUCGUCCUGGUUUUGUGGUGAUUCAUGAUAACUGAAUGAAUCGUAUGGCAUCCGCUGGCGAUAAAUCAUUCAAAUUUCUGCCCUAUCAACUUUCGAUGGUAGGAUAGUGGCCCACCAUGGUUUCAACGGGUA